AAAAUCAAGAAUCUAGGUUUCUGUCUUCUCCAUUUAACUCCCUUAGACAUUAAGGAAGUGGCCUGUGGCCCUUCCUCAUGUCACAAAAGGCAAAUAACUCCCUUAACUAUAAAAGAAUUUGGCACUGAUACUUAUUCUGUUAAUUUGCCAUUAGCAUGGGUGUACCAUGGGCGAGACUUUGUUAACUCCACAUUGCUUCUAGUGUGAAAUGGCAGUAAUGUCAUGAUGAAACAAAAUAUACACCUCUAUAUAUGCUUGAGCAAAAUCUCAAGGUUACCUUUUUAGGCCAACCAAAUAUAGAACUGGAGAGAAUAACAGUGUACAAUGCAUUUUAGUUUUUGAUCAGCACAUUGAUACUUGUUAACCAUAACUUGAGAUUGCCCAAUUA
This 388-nucleotide unclassified non-coding RNA is filed under the name Hevea brasiliensis (rubber tree). The record is from RNAcentral. Lineage: Eukaryota; Viridiplantae; Streptophyta; Magnoliopsida; Malpighiales; Euphorbiaceae.